RNAcentral lists this non-coding RNA (57 nucleotides) under Microtetraspora glauca. RNAcentral's name for it is "L17-Actino-Proteobacteria ribosomal protein leader". It matches the Rfam family "L17-Actino-Proteobacteria ribosomal protein leader". Lineage: Bacteria; Bacillati; Actinomycetota; Actinomycetes; Streptosporangiales; Streptosporangiaceae. The record is from RNAcentral.
CCGACAGGUAUCCGCCUGCUCGGACACUGACUCCGGUACCUGACACGGCCGGGGCAG